GAUGAACGCUGGCGGCGUGCCUAAUACAUGCAAGUCGAGCGAACGGACGAGAAGCUUGCUUCUCUGAUGUUAGCGGCGGACGGGUGAGUAACACGUGGAUAACCUACCUAUAAGACUGGGAUAACUUCGGGAAACCGGAGCUAAUACCGGAUAAUAUUUUGAACCGCAUGGUUCAAAAGUGAAAGACGGUCUUGCUGUCACUUAUAGAUGGAUCCGCGCUGCAUUAGCUAGUUGGUAAGGUAACGGCUUACCAAGGCAACGAUGCAUAGCCGACCUGAGAGGGUGAUCGGCCACACUGGAACUGAGACACGGUCCAGACUCCUACGGGAGGCAGCAGUAGGGAAUCUUCCGCAAUGGGCGAAAGCCUGACGGAGCAACGCCGCGUGAGUGAUGAAGGUCUUCGGAUCGUAAAACUCUGUUAUUAGGGAAGAACAUAUGUGUAAGUAACUGUGCACAUCUUGACGGUACCUAAUCAGAAAGCCACGGCUAAAUACGUG
RNAcentral lists this ribosomal RNA (497 nucleotides) under uncultured bacterium. Its description in RNAcentral is "partial 16S ribosomal RNA". It matches the Rfam family "Bacterial small subunit ribosomal RNA", at positions 28 to 507 of the family's 1533-position model. The record is from RNAcentral.